UGGAUGGUCAUGGAGUGUUUGAGGGUGUGGGGAAGUGUUUAGGGGUAAGUGGGAGGAAAUUAGGGGAUUACGAGGAAAAUAUUCAAAAUCUAAUCAUUUUCUUGUUUUUUUUUUUGAAAAAAAGAGAGAGUCAGUUUUCUCUUCAUUUUCCUAACGAUUUCUUUUACCAUCUUUACCAUUUUCAUUCCUCAAUUCCUCCCAUUGCCGCCAAAUUCCACUUCUCUCCC
Molecule: long non-coding RNA, 227 nt
Filed under: Gossypium barbadense (sea-island cotton)
Lineage: Eukaryota; Viridiplantae; Streptophyta; Magnoliopsida; Malvales; Malvaceae
Description: long non-coding RNA (GBAR_LNC018097)
Source: RNAcentral